GACGAACGCUGGCGGCGUGCUUAACACAUGCAAGUCGAACGGAAAGGCCCGGCUUUUGUGGGGUGCUCGAGUGGCGAACGGGUGAGUAACACGUGAGUAACCUGCCCUUGACUUUGGGAUAACUUCAGGAAACUGGGGCUAAUACCGGAUAGGAGCUCCUGCUGCAUGGUGGGGGUGGGAAAGUUUCGGCGGUUGGGGAUGGACUCGCGGCUUAUCAGCUUGUUGGUGGGGUAGUGGCUUACCAAGGCUUUGACGGGUAGCCGGCCUGAGAGGGUGACCGGCCACAUUGGGACUGAGAUACGGCACAGACUCCUACGGGAGGCAGCAGUGGGGAAUAUUGCACAAUGGGCGGAAGCCUGAUGCAGCAACGCCGCGUGCGGGAUGACGGCCUUCGGGUUGUAAACCGCUUUCGCCUGUGACGAAGCGUGAGUGACGGUAAUGGGUAAAGAAGCACCGGCUAACUACGUG
Molecule: ribosomal RNA, 468 nt
Filed under: uncultured bacterium
Lineage: Bacteria
Description: partial 16S ribosomal RNA
Rfam family: Bacterial small subunit ribosomal RNA
Source: RNAcentral